RNAcentral lists this ribosomal RNA (713 nucleotides) under Pseudomonas aeruginosa. Its description in RNAcentral is "bacterial SSU rRNA". It matches the Rfam family "Bacterial small subunit ribosomal RNA", at positions 54 to 763 of the family's 1533-position model. The record is from RNAcentral. Lineage: Bacteria; Pseudomonadati; Pseudomonadota; Gammaproteobacteria; Pseudomonadales; Pseudomonadaceae.
CNUGCAGUCGAGCGGAUGAAGGGAGCUUGCUCCUGGAUUCAGCGGCGGACGGGUGAGUAAUGCCUAGGAAUCUGCCUGGUAGUGGGGGAUAACGUCCGGAAACGGGCGCUAAUACCGCAUACGUCCUGAGGGAGAAAGUGGGGGAUCUUCGGACCUCACGCUAUCAGAUGAGCCUAGGUCGGAUUAGCUAGUUGGUGGGGUAAAGGCCUACCAAGGCGACGAUCCGUAACUGGUCUGAGAGGAUGAUCAGUCACACUGGAACUGAGACACGGUCCAGACUCCUACGGGAGGCAGCAGUGGGGAAUAUUGGACAAUGGGCGAAAGCCUGAUCCAGCCAUGCCGCGUGUGUGAAGAAGGUCUUCGGAUUGUAAAGCACUUUAAGUUGGGAGGAAGGGCAGUAAGUUAAUACCUUGCUGUUUUGACGUUACCAACAGAAUAAGCACCGGCUAACUUCGUGCCAGCAGCCGCGGUAAUACGAAGGGUGCAAGCGUUAAUCGGAAUUACUGGGCGUAAAGCGCGCGUAGGUGGUUCAGCAAGUUGGAUGUGAAAUCCCCGGGCUCAACCUGGGAACUGCAUCCAAAACUACUGAGCUAGAGUACGGUAGAGGGUGGUGGAAUUUCCUGUGUAGCGGUGAAAUGCGUAGAUAUAGGAAGGAACACCAGUGGCGAAGGCGACCACCUGGACUGAUACUGACACUGANGUGCNAAAGCGUG